AUUUAAACCCUAGAAGAAAUUCAAUAAUAAACGAAGUGAAUUGAAACAUCUUAGUAACUUCAGGAAAAGAAAUCAAAAGAGAUUCUAUGAUUAGCGUGAGUGAAAAUAGAGGAGCCUAGAUAAAAAAUUAAGUAAAAUGGUUUAAAAACUGUUUGAAUUAAGCCCACUGUCCCCCUUCCCAGGGGGAAGUGGGCUUGGGGAACCUUCCUCAAAGGCUAAAUAUAAUACAUAAGCGAUAGUGAACAAGUAUCAUGAGAGAAGGAUUAGAAUUAGUAGUUUUAUAAGCAGUUCGAGCAAAAUAAAUAAGUGAGAACGUACCUUUUGCAUAAUGGGUCACCUAGUUAACAUUAGAUGCGAGUGAAAGCGUAGGUAAACCAAUCGUUAAAAUAACGAAUAGUGUCUAAAGUUAGACCCGAAGCCUGGUGAUUUUACCAUAAUCAGGAUUAUAAAAGUCCGAACGGGUUAUCGUUGUAAAGAUAUCCGAAGAAUUAUGGUAGGUAGUGAAAGACAACACUGACCAGGAUAGCUGGUUUUCUGCGAAACCUAUAACAGUAGGCAAUUUGAGUAACAUCUUAGCAGGUACAGAAUUUAAUCUCAGACAAGAUGUUUAAAUUUUAGUGGUGGCUGCGCGGUCUUACCGCUAAAGCUCGCCAUUAAAACAACAUGUUGAUUUGUAUAUAUCGGGGGAUCGUGAAGAUUUUAUCGGUGAGUAUGUAGACUCGGAAUGGCAAAGAUGGAUCUUUAAUUAUCGGACAUAGAAUGAUAAGGUUGUAUGUCAAAAGGGAAACAGCCCAGAACAAGAGUUAAGGUUCCAAAAUUAUUAGUUAAGUGAAAUUAAGAAAGUUUUUAUUAAAGUCGACAAGGAGAUGGGCUUAGAAGCAGCCAAAUUUUGAAGACCUCGUAACAGAGCGCUUGUUAAGUUUUAAAAGCAUCGAAAAUUUAACGGAUCUAAACAAUAUACCGAAACCUUGUCCAUAUUUUACUAUUGGCUAAGUAUAAGAUAGAUAGUAAUUUUGUGGGGUAGCAGAACGUUGAAUUAAAUUAAGAUAUUUCCUCAGUGAAGAAAUAUAUAAUAAACAAUUCAAGUGAGAAUGGUGACAUGAGUAACGAAUAAGAAGGAGGUGAACCCGAAACCCCACCCCCGCCUUAGGGGAAUGGCCUAGUAAGGUUCAUCAUAUCCUCCGCCUAAAGCUUAUGGCUUGGUGGAAGCUCCAAAACGGCCUCUAAGUAUAUGAAACCGAACGGGCUAUACGAUGAGAGAUUUACUGAAAGACAACAUUUUUAAGUGAGAAGUGUGCUGGAAAAUUAGUAAAGAAUGUCUGGGAGACUGGUCGCUAAAAAAUAGUAUCCUUGACUAGGAUCGUGUAAAAUCUAUACUAAACUAAUACCGUACCUAGAGUCUGAAACAAGUAAGCUAGUAGAGAAUACGAAGGCGUAAAUGAGCUAACAAUCAUAAAGGAACUCGGCAAAUUAACUACCGUAACUUCGGGAUAAGGAGGGCUCAUUAGUCCUGAUUAAUAUCGGGUAAAAAGGAAGAAGCAUAAAAUAAUGUUGUACGACUGUUUAAUUAAAACACAGCACUUUGCAAAAAGAUUAAUAAUCGAUGUAUUGAGUGUGAUGUCUGCCCGAUGCCGGCUGGUUAACGGAUUUAACUAAAUUUUUUCAAAAAUUUGGUGUUGAAGGAACCCCCGGUUAAUGGCGGCCUUAACGUGAGGGUCCUAAGGUAGCGAAAUGCCUUGGCCGUUAAAUGCGGUCUUGCAUGAAUGAUGUAACGAUACAACAGCUGUCUCUAUGAUUGACUCAGUGAAAUUGGAAUAACUGUGCAGAUACAGUUUACCUCUAGUUAGACGAGAAGACCCUAUGCAGCUUUACUGUUACUAAUUAUAGGGUAUGAUGGAUGAAUUUUAAGAUUAUAAGGUACAUUGAUUAAUAAAAAUGAAAAUCCUUUAUUUCGACAUCAUACUUCGGGUCCAGCGAAACAUAUGAUAAGUGGCAGUCUUAUUUCUCCGGACCAUUUGAGGGGGGUGGUUCUAAGGCUUAUCUAGUGGAUGGUGAUAGCCCCCCUAAGUAGCCACACUUAGAAUUUUGCAGGACGGAGAUUGCUUACCUCUGGUAAGUUGGAAGUAACCUUUAGAGAGGAAUAUAUAGUUAGGAGACAGUUUAUGUGGGGCACAGACCCCUUAAAGAGUAAAAGGGAGUGUCUAAAAAUGAUUUGUUAUAAGAUAGCGCGCCUCCAAAGGAAGCGCGUCAGCUCUUAUAAGGUUGUUUGUGGUUUUAUGUAGUUUUACUAUAUUUAAUCUUCUAAAAUUAUUUCUAUCUAUCCUAGUGGUAGAUAGGGAUGGAUAUUUAGGUACGUUUUUCACUAUAGUGAAAAUAGCGGUAUAAUAAAAAAUAUUAUGAAGGUAAAAUAGUCUAAUGUUUUUUGAGUUAUUAAGGGUGGCUGGCUUCGCAAGCCAGCCUUAAUAAUUAUGAUGAAUACCUGAAAAGCUCAACGGCUUAUUCGUGCCUUACUGUUUGAUUAACAACAAAUCUUACAGUUGCGUAAGCAGGGCAUAGGAUCACAAGAUGCAAAAAGGAAAGAUCUUGGAUUAUUGGAAAAGCUACGCUAGGGAUGUUUGUCCUUCAAUAUUUUAAGACUCUUAAUGAGAGCUCGAAUUAUUGAUAACAUAUUGGGUUAAUUUCAAGAAUUACUUAUAUAAGUAGAUUUGAAGCGAAAUUUAUCUUGGCAUAAUUACAUAAGAUAAAAUCGUUCAACGACUAUAAGGUGAGUUAUGCUAACAAUAAUCCUUUUUAACACCCAACAUUUUUAUUACCAUACACUUAUAAAAAAAGAUAAAAAGAAGUAAGAUUUAUUUUUAUGAAGGCGAAAGCUUUAAAUACAAACACAGUGGGAGCUGCUUUGGCUCCAGGAGCCAAAAAAAAAAGUGGGAGCUUUUGUAAAAAGGCCGCUUUUUACCCCAAUAUUUUUCAUUCUAAUUUAAAUAAUAAGUUUAAAUUAAUACCUUUUAAUAAUAUAAUUGGUGAUAAUGGGGGAGUUAAAUACUUACCUCCUGUAAGUAAAGAAUGAAAAAAUACUAUCUAUUCAUAUUAUAAAAAAAAUAUGCAAAAUUUGCCUAUAGAUAAUAUAAAUGCAAAUAAAGUAAUAAAAAGUUAUUUUAAUUUACAUUUUGCAGAUAAUAAAUUUAUAGGGUCUAAAUAUAUAUCUCCGAAAAACAGAAGUUUAUUCUUAAAAAAAAUCUUUGUAAGUAAAAUAGAAACAAAACAUACAAAUUCUAAAAUUAUAAUAACUUUAUAUACUAUAAAUACAGAGAAAAAUAUUGUAUCUAAAAAUUAUAAAAAAUGCUCGAUUUUUUGAGAAAAUAAAUUAUUAAAUUCCUUUAAAAAGGGAUGAAAGAAAAAAAUUCAUGAAGUGAGUGCUUUGAUACCAAAAGGACAAGCUAAAGCUCAUUUGGCCCCAGCGGCGGUAAAAAAUGAAGAAUUAAAUGCGAGCAUUAAUAAUAAUGCAAGCUCUAUAAUGAACAAUCAAAAAAAACUUCUGGUUUCUAAAUAUAAAUUAUUAACUGAAUCUUUACAAUGUUUUAAUUUAUAUUUAAGAUUAUACUUAAGUAGACAUUUUAAAAAUUCAUAUUUCGAUAAAAUAGAUUUAUUAAGAAAAUACCAGUUAAACUAUUACCUUAAUAAAUUAAAAUUUGAAAGAAAUAGUUACUUAGCUAAAUUAAGUACUCUGUUAUCGAAAAUAUUUAAUAACAAUAUAGAAUUUAAUAUAAUAAACUUAAAAUCUGUUAGUUUUAAUCCGGAUAUUUUUACUGAAAUACUAAGUUUAAAAUUAAGAAAACCUAAACCUAGAGGUGUUAUCAAUGUAAUAAAUAGUUUAUUAAAACUAGCCAAAUUACCUGUACUGAAUAGAAUACAGGAAAAGGCUAGUAUUAUAAAAUCUUUAGAUUUUACUUUAUGAGAAAAUGUUUUUUCAAAUUUCAGUUUAGUUUCUAUAAUGAAAGAAAAUAUGGUAAAGGCAUCUAAACAAGGCAGCAAUAGCAAGGCCUUGGCGGCCUUACCCUCUGACGAAAACAAUAUUUCAAAUAUAAUAUUUAAUUCAAUUAAAUAUAAAAAUUUAGGAGGUAUAAGAUUAGAAGUUAAAGGAAGAUUAACAAAACGUAAUAGAGCAGAUAGAUCUGUAUAUAAAUUUAAAUGAAAAGGAGGAUUAAAAAAUAUAGAUAGUUCUUUUAAAAGUUUAUCUACAGUUACAUAUAGAGGUUAUUAUAAACCUAAUGUAAUCUCUUCUUUAUCUCAAUCAAAACGUCGUGUAGGAUCAUUUGCGGUAAAAGGUUGAAUAAGUGGAAAAUAAGUAUAUUGGAUAUAUAUUCCGUUUUGGCGAGCGCAAGCUCGCUCUUCACUAAAUAAGUUAUGGAGCAGAGCAGAAAUCGCUCGAAUAAAAAUGAAGACAUAGUCUGAACCAUUUUGUGAAAAAUGGAAAUAAAAUUUAUUAUGAUAACAUGUAGAACAGGCUAAUUUGCGCAAGAGUGUACAAAAUGAGUGCGCGGUUUGGCACCUCGAUGUCGGCUUAACUUAUCCUCAUGGAUGCAGAAACUAUGUAGGGUACGACUGUUCGUCGAUUAAAAAGUUACAUGAGCUGGGUUAAAUACGUCGUGAGACAGUAUGGUUUCUAUCUUCUAGAGGGAAUUUGAAUAAAAUAAGGAUUAACCUUUGUACGAAAGGAACAGGAAAAACUUAACCUAAAAAGUUAGGUUAUAUUAAUUGUUAACCUCUGGUUUACCUGUUGUUUAUAAGCCCAAUAUUAAAAGUGUUAAGCCCAACUACUAUGUAUACGUCAAUAGACGGAGUCUGAUACAUGGUAUGCUUAAUUCGGGGGAUGUUACUUUCACUUAAGUAAAUUUAUAUUAUAGGCACGGCAGGAAAGCUAAGUUAGUUAAAGAUAAGUGCUGAAAGCAUAUAGGCACGAAGCUUACCUUAAGAUAUUUCUAAUUCACGUAAUAUAAUAUUACGGCAUAAUAUUAUUAUUAUUAUUGCAAUAGGCUUUGUUUGUAAGAAUCUAGAGAUUUUAAG
Molecule: ribosomal RNA, 5064 nt
Filed under: Colletotrichum lindemuthianum
Lineage: Eukaryota; Fungi; Ascomycota; Sordariomycetes; Glomerellales; Glomerellaceae
Description: large subunit ribosomal RNA
Rfam family: Bacterial large subunit ribosomal RNA (bases 1-2658)
Source: RNAcentral